GGGCUAGGAGUAUAGUGGUUAGAGAGCUGGGCUUCCAACCCAGAGGUGGUGGGCUCAACUCCCAGGUAGACCA
Non-coding RNA from Albula goreensis, 73 nucleotides. NCBI's taxonomy places the organism in Eukaryota, Metazoa, Chordata, Actinopteri, Albuliformes, Albulidae. The record is from the annotation of a GenBank genome assembly.